GGUGACUCAGCAGUAGAGUGCUUGCCUUGCAUGCAUGAGGCCCUGGGUUCAAUUCCUCAGCACCA
Molecule: transfer RNA, 65 nt
Filed under: Dipodomys ordii (Ord's kangaroo rat)
Lineage: Eukaryota; Metazoa; Chordata; Mammalia; Rodentia; Heteromyidae
Rfam family: tRNA
About the family: Transfer RNA (tRNA) molecules are approximately 80 nucleotides in length. Their secondary structure includes four short double-helical elements and three loops (D, anti-codon, and T loops). Further hydrogen bonds mediate the characteristic L-shaped molecular structure. tRNAs have two regions of fundamental functional importance: the anti-codon, which is responsible for specific mRNA codon recognition, and the 3' end, to which the tRNAs corresponding amino acid is attached (by aminoacyl-tRNA synthetases). tRNAs cope with the degeneracy of the genetic code in two manners: having more than one tRNA (with a specific anti-codon) for a particular amino acid; and 'wobble' base-pairing, i.e. permitting non-standard base-pairing at the 3rd anti-codon position.
Source: Rfam by way of RNAcentral